ACUGCAGGUGGGCUCCUGAAAGUGCUGACUGGUUUUUGUGCUUCUCUACUAGCCUGAAAGCUGAUCAGUAUAAUUAGAAACAGAGAUGAUUAGAAAUUUUUAUGCAAAAUAAGGAUUUUCAGCAGACGACACAUUAGCUGUCGCAAAGUACGAAGACAUCCAUGCAAAUGACCCUCCGAGGACUCGAGUGACCAUAAGCAAUGAGGGAAAUAAGAAAUCAGGAAUGUACAGACUGGCUGCAGUGUGUGCGCUGCUGCUGUUUGUUCUGCUGACUGCCAUCACAGUGCUGUGGGUCAAAUUAGUUACUGAACACAACCUAAACAAACAGUUAAAGCAGGAGAGAGAUCAUCUUCAGGACAUAAAUAGGCAGGACAAGCUGAAAUGGAAACGCUUGGCUCCAGUCUUUACUACUUCUCUGACAUGAAGAACUGGACUGUGCAGACCUGGUGAUCAUUAACAGCAAAGAGAAACAGGAUUUCAUCGUAAAAGAGCUGCAAGGAAGUCGGAAAUGGAUUGGUUUAAAUGAUAGAGAAGAAGAGGGAACAUGGUAAUGGGUGGACGGCACACUACUGACCAACGGGCACUGGGGUUAUUCUCAGCCAGAUAAUAAAGGAAAUGAGGACUGUGCUGAGAUCGGGUUACCGCAAAGGCAUAACUGGAAUGACAGACCUUGCUUUGAAAAGCAAGGCUGAGUUUGUGAGAAGAGAGGUGAUUUGUGAGAAAUAAUAACAUUCACAAAUAAAUCAAGCUAAAGGCUUUCACUUCAAAUCAGUGAUGCAUCUUCCAUCACAUCUAUUCUGUGCAUUACUCUGCCUCCCUAUUACACUGCCCCCUAGUGGCUAAAUUUCUCCCUCUUAAUUAGUGCAUUGUUUGUAUUUUUGCCACUUAAAUAAUCAGCUGUACCAUCUGAUCAGUAAGCUGUGAUGAUGUAACUUGAUGAUGUGUGGUGCUUGUUUAUUUGUUUGUUUAAAUUCAUGUUUAUUAUUUUUUGUACAAUUGGCAAUAAAUUCUUGUUUAAAUUAAAUCUACGAGUAAAAAA
Molecule: long non-coding RNA, 1039 nt
Organism: Tachysurus fulvidraco (yellow catfish)
Lineage: Eukaryota; Metazoa; Chordata; Actinopteri; Siluriformes; Bagridae
Exons: 5
Source: RefSeq, a predicted model, not a curated record